GGCUCAGUAACAAGUAGUCAAUCUGCCCUCAGGACGGGUACAACCUCGGGAAACUGAGAUUAAUACCCGAUGCUCCACCUAUGCUGGAAUGCUUGGUGGGGAAAAUGCGCUGCAAAUUGCAGCAGUUGCGCCUGAGGAUGAGACUGCUCCUGAUUAGGUAGUUGGUGAGGUAACGGCUCACCAAGCCGAUAAUCAGUAGGGGCAAUGGGAGUUGUCGCCCCGAGAAGGACACUGAGACAAGGGUCCUAGUCCUACGGGAUGCAGCAGGCGCGAAACCU
RNAcentral lists this ribosomal RNA (278 nucleotides) under uncultured archaeon. Its description in RNAcentral is "partial 16S ribosomal RNA". It matches the Rfam family "Archaeal small subunit ribosomal RNA", at positions 87 to 349 of the family's 1478-position model. The record is from RNAcentral.